RNAcentral lists this ribosomal RNA (691 nucleotides) under uncultured Micrococcineae bacterium. Its description in RNAcentral is "bacterial SSU rRNA". It matches the Rfam family "Bacterial small subunit ribosomal RNA", at positions 97 to 803 of the family's 1533-position model. Lineage: Bacteria; Bacillati; Actinomycetota; Actinomycetes; Micrococcales. The record is from RNAcentral.
GGCGAACGGGUGAGGAACACGUGAAGAAUCUGCCUUCAACUCUGGGAUAACACCGGGAAACCGGUGCUAAUACCGGAUAUGAGCCUUGAUCGCAUGAUCGGGGCUGGAAAGUUUUUCGGUUGAAGAUGACUUCGCGGCCUAUCAGCUUGUUGGUGAGGUAAUGGCUCACCAAGGCGACGACGGGUAGCCGGCCUGAGAGGGCGACCGGCCACACUGGGACUGAGACACGGCCCAGACUCCUACGGGAGGCAGCAGUGGGGAAUAUUGGGCAAUGGACGAAAGUCUGACCCAGCGACGCCGCGUGCGGGAUGAAGGCCUUCGGGUUGUAAACCGCUUUCAGCAGGGAAGAAGCGAAAGUGACGGUACCUGCAGAAGAAGCACCGGCUAACUAUGUGCCAGCAGCCGCGGUAAUACAUAGGGUGCAAGCGUUGUCCGGAAUUAUUGGGCGUAAAGAGCUCGUAGGUGGUUAGUUACGUCGGAUGUGAAAAUCUAGGGCUCAACCCUAGACCUGCAUCCGAUACGGGCUAGCUUGAGUUUGGUAGGGGAGACUGGAAUUCCUGGUGUAGCGGUGGAAUGCGCAGAUAUCAGGAGGAACACCAAUGGCGAAGGCAGGUCUCUGGGCCAAUACUGACACUGAGGAGCGAAAGUGUGGGGAGCGAACAGGAUUAGAUACCCUGGUAGUCCACACAGU